AUUGAACGCUGGCGGCAGGCCUAACACAUGCAAGUCGAACGGUAACAGGAAGAAGCUUGCUUCUUUGCUGACGAGUGGCGGACGGGUGAGUAAUGUCUGGGAAACUGCCUGAUGGAGGGGGAUAACUACUGGAAACGGUAGCUAAUACCGCAUAACGUCGCAAGACCAAAAAGGGGGACCUUCGGGCCUCUUGCCAUCGGAUGUGCCCAGAUGGGAUUAGCUAGUAGGUGGGGUAACGGCUCACCUAGGCGACGAUCCCUAGCUGGUCUGAGAGGAUGACCGGCCACACUGGAACUGAGACACGGUCCAGACUCCUACGGGAGGCAGCAGUGGGGAAUAUUGCACAAUGGGCGCAAGCCUGAUGCAGCCAUGCCGCGUGUAUGAAGAAGGCCUUCGGGUUGUAAAGUACUUUCAGCGGGGAGGAAGGGAGUAAAGUUAAUACCUUUGCUCAUUGACGUUACCCGCAGAAGAAGCACCGGCUAACUCCGUG
RNAcentral lists this ribosomal RNA (490 nucleotides) under uncultured bacterium. Its description in RNAcentral is "partial 16S ribosomal RNA". It matches the Rfam family "Bacterial small subunit ribosomal RNA", at positions 30 to 507 of the family's 1533-position model. The record is from RNAcentral.